GGGGAUAGCCUUGCGAAAGCAAGAUUAAUACCCGAUGUUCUCACUGUUCCGCAUGUUACGGUGAGCAAAGAAUUUCGGUAUGCGAUGGCGAUGCGUCCCAUUAGCUAGUUGGCGGGGUAACGGCCCACCAAGGCUCCGAUGGGUAGGGGUUCUGAGAGGAAGGUCCCCCACACUGGAACUGAGACACGGUCCAGACUCCUACGGGAGGCAGCAGUGAGGAAUAUUGGUCAAUGGACGCAAGUCUGAACCAGCCAAGUAGCGUGCAGGAUGACGGCCCUCCGGGUUGUAAACUGCUUUUAGUUGGGAAUAAAAGGGGGCUCGUGAGCCCCGUAUUGUAUGUACCAUCAGAAAAAGGACCGGCUAAUUCCGUGCCAGCAGCCGCGGUAAUACGGAAGGUCCGGGCGUUAUCCGGAUUUAUUGGGUUUAAAGGGAGCGUAGGCCGGCUUUUAAGUCAGCUGUGAAAGUCCGCGGCUCAACCGUGGAAUUGCAGUUGAAACUGGAGGCCUUGAGUGCACACAGGGAUGCCGGAAUUCAUGGUGUAGCGGUGAAAUGCUUAGAUAUCAUGAAGAACUCCGAUCGCGAAGGCAAGUGUCCGGGGUGCAACUGACGCUGAGGCUCGAAAGUGCGGGUAUCAAACAGGAUUAGAUACCCUGGUAGUCCGCACCGUAAACG
This 672-nucleotide ribosomal RNA is filed under the name uncultured bacterium. Its description in RNAcentral is "bacterial SSU rRNA". It matches the Rfam family "Bacterial small subunit ribosomal RNA", at positions 139 to 808 of the family's 1533-position model. The record is from RNAcentral.